AACGAACGCUGGCGGCAUGCCUAACACAUGCAAGUCGAACGAGACCUUCGGGUCUAGUGGCGCACGGGUGCGUAACGCGUGGGAACCUGCCCUUAGGUUCGGAAUAACUCCCCGAAAGGGGUGCUAAUACCGGAUAAUGUCUUCGGACCAAAGAUUGAUCGGCUUUGGAUGGGCCCGCGUUGGAUUAGCUAGUUGGUAGGGUAAAAGCCUACCAAGGCGACGAUCCAUAGCUGGUCUGAGAGGAUGAUCAGCCACACUGGGACUGAGACACGGCCCAGACUCCGACGGGAGGCAGCAGUGGGGAAUAAUGGACAAUGGGCGAAAGCCUGAUCCAGCAAUGCCGCGUGAGUGAUGAAGGCCUUAGGGUUGUAAAGCUCUUUUACCCGGGAUGAUAAGGACAGUACCGGGAGAAUAAGCUCCGGCUAACUCCGU
Molecule: ribosomal RNA, 432 nt
Filed under: uncultured bacterium
Lineage: Bacteria
Description: partial 16S ribosomal RNA
Rfam family: Bacterial small subunit ribosomal RNA
Source: RNAcentral